GAGAACAUGUCCAGUGUGAACCACUGUUAUUCCAAACGUGUAUGAACGGGGAUUUCUGAAUACUAAAGGGAGACAUUUAUAGACCUUUCUGCACAAAACAACGGUGAGGUAGGACUAUAUAAGCAUAUAAAUAUGAAGACCGAGGCAGGUUUUCGAGCUUUUUUCUUCAGUAAAUAUUUCUCAGGGUGGUGGGCUUAUUUUUUUAAAAAGUUUUGGCGCGAAUAACUACAACCGUGAAUCUAUUGAAUGUUACUGAAUCCCAGAAAAGAAGAUGAAGAAAAAAGGGUUUGACCCAGAAGCGGGCGUGUUGCCACAGCUAAUAAGGAGGUUCUCAGGCAGGGAGAGGCCAGGAUGGGGUUGCACACCAGGGAGAGAGUUUCAAGUUCAAGUGCAAGAUUACAUGUUCUUGACCAAGAGGAAGAGCCGAGGAAAAAAAGUGUGGUUUCCCUCCCCCUCCCCUUCUUCUCUACACUUAUCCGUAAAGAAAGGAAGGAAGCGGAAGAGAGAGGUGUCUGUGAGGAGGAAUGAUGAAAAGGCAGAGAGAGGGAGAGAGAGAGAGAAGGAGGGGGUAAAAGAAGAGAGCAGGACUGAGGAGAGUGGACUGGCAGAAACGUGAAAUACGAGAGGGAGAAGAGUAAAGUAGGAGAGGAACCCGUAAGAGGAGAAACGAGGGAUGGCUGACCUGGAAGUGGGCAAAAUCGGGGGAAAGGAAACCACCAUUCUAUUCCAACACUUGCUGAAGCUGGGAUGCAUCACCUGAGAUCUGCUCUGAUGCUCAUCAGGGACUACAGGUGUUCACUCCUCAUACGACAUACAGCUCAAAGGAGACCAGCUGGUCAGUGAUCAGGUUUCGACCUAACACCUGGACGUUUUGGGAAAAUUGGAUUACUUCCAUAUACUGUGCUUUUGGUAUUCCAUAUUGCCCUGUCCUCAUGUUACCUGAUGACAGCUGAAGGAGCUGUCCAAGUGUUAACAUGUUAUUUUUGGUUGGUUGAUUUAUGGCUUUUUAUAUUAGUAAUUUACUAAGAAUUACUUUACACUGUAAGUUAGUUUUAUUUGAUUGUGUAAUAUUGCGGAGAAAUCCUCUAUCUUUGUCUCAGGAGUCGGCGAAUGUGUCUUUGAUUUUCCAAAAGAAAAGCUCCUCAAGCUGAUGAGGUUUUACUGAAGCUCCUGGUAGAAUCGUGCAGAGGAUGAUGCCACGGCUUACAGCCUCUGCGGUGAAACAUAUUGCAGUAAAAGUACCCAUCAACAACACCCCAUGGUUUUAUUAUGACUGACACAACACAGUUUGGUGCAAACAUUAUGUGUUUACUGCUCUCUGUGCACCUUCACUGCCUGAAGGAAGUGAGGGUAAAAAUCUGAACAGCGCAAUGCAGUCGGAGCCCCUUUUUCCAGGUGCUUUAAAUGAGGUUUAAAGCACGAAAGAAAGAGUGACGUAAUUGUGCAUUUUUAAUU
This is a long non-coding RNA of Onychostoma macrolepis, 1455 nucleotides long. RefSeq lists it as uncharacterized. Lineage: Eukaryota; Metazoa; Chordata; Actinopteri; Cypriniformes; Cyprinidae. The transcript is spliced from 5 exons. The record is from RefSeq and is a predicted model, not a curated record.